Passer domesticus (house sparrow) is the source of this 335-nucleotide long non-coding RNA. RefSeq lists it as uncharacterized. NCBI's taxonomy places the organism in Eukaryota, Metazoa, Chordata, Aves, Passeriformes, Passeridae. The transcript is spliced from 3 exons. The record is from RefSeq and is a predicted model, not a curated record.
UCUCACUGUGAGCAAUGAGCAGUGUUAAUAUAAACUAAAUCUAAUUUUGGCCUGCACAAGGUUUCUGUACCCAGAUUAACCAGGGCUGUGAAAAUCUCCAUUUUUGGCACUGCUGGCACAAUCCCAGGGCAUUACACUCACCCAGAUAUAAAAGUCCUUUAUCACACAGUAGCACUUCCCACACAGGAAUAAGCUCUUCCAGAACAUAUGGGAGAUGCCAAACAGGAGCUGGGGGUAAACAGGCAGCCAUAGAGCACACAGAGGUGGAACUUCACUAGGACUAAGGACAUUUCAUGUGCAUCACUGAGGCAGGAUGUGAGCUGCAGAAAUCAUGG